RNAcentral lists this ribosomal RNA (660 nucleotides) under Piromyces sp. Its description in RNAcentral is "bacterial SSU rRNA". The stretch from base 1 to 309 matches the Rfam family "Eukaryotic small subunit ribosomal RNA", at positions 1524 to 1831 of the family's 1831-position model. Lineage: Eukaryota; Fungi; Neocallimastigomycota; Neocallimastigomycetes; Neocallimastigales; Neocallimastigaceae. The record is from RNAcentral.
CAUCCUUGAUCGGGAGGUCUGGGUAAUCUUUUGAAACUUCAUCGUGCUGGGGAUAGUCCCUUGCAAUUUUUGGACUUAAACGAGGAAUUCCUAGUAAGCGUGAGUCAUCAACUCGCGUUGAUUACGUCCCUGCCCUUUGUACACACCGCCCGUCGCUACUACCGAUUGAAUGGCUUAGUGAAUCCUUCGGAUUGGCUUUUUUUUCUGGCAACAGAAUUUAAUCGCUGAAAAGUUGGGCAAACUUGGUCAUUUAGAGGAAGUAAAAGUCGUAACAAGGUUUCCGUAGGUGAACCUGCGGAAGGAUCAUUAAAAAAAUGGUACUCUAUUUGUGAGUGCAUUAAUAAUCCAUCCUACCCUUUGUGAAUUUGUUGUAUGAAAUAAUUUUUUUUUAAAAAAAAUUAUUGAAUGUCUUUCCCUGUUGAAAAGUUUGGUCGUAAGACUUGGAUUUUUCACAGGGGAUAGUCAAUAAUUUUUUUAAAAAGACCUUUUUUUAAAUAAAACUUUUUGUAUUCAUUUGUCUAAAAUUAUUUUUAUAAUAUAAAAACAACUUUUGACAAUGGAUCUCUUGGUUCUCGCAACGAUGAAGAACGCAGCAAAAUGCGAUAAGUAGUGUGAAUUGCAGAAUACGUGAAUCAUCGAAUCUUCGAACGCAUAUUGCAC